This 253-nucleotide ribosomal RNA is filed under the name uncultured bacterium. RNAcentral's name for it is "partial 16S ribosomal RNA". It matches the Rfam family "Bacterial small subunit ribosomal RNA", at positions 524 to 776 of the family's 1533-position model. The record is from RNAcentral.
UACGGGGGGGGUAAGCGUUGUUCGGAAUUACUGGGCGUAAAGGGCUCGUAGGCGGCCAACUAAGUCAGACGUGAAAUCCCUCAGCUUAACUGGGGAACUGCGUCUGAUACUGGAUGGCUUGGAUCCGGGAGAGGGAUGCGGAAUUCCUGGUGUAGCGGUGGAAUGCGCAGAUAUCAGGAGGAACACCGAUGGCGAAGGCAGUUCUCUGGGCCGUAACUGACGCUGAGGAGCGAAAGCGUGGGGAGCGAACAGG